AUGCCUUACACAUGCAAGUCGAACGGCAGCACGGGUGCUUGCACCUGGUGGCGAGUGGCGAACGGGUGAGUAAUACAUCGGAACAUGUCCUGUAGUGGGGGAUAGCCCGGCGAAAGCCGGAUUAAUACCGCAUACGAUCUACGGAUGAAAGCGGGGGACCUUCGGGCCUCGCGCUAUAGGGUUGGCCGAUGGCUGAUUAGCUAGUUGGUGGGGUAAAGGCCUACCAAGGCGACGAUCAGUAGCUGGUCUGAGAGGACGACCAGCCACACUGGGACUGAGACACGGCCCAG
Molecule: ribosomal RNA, 290 nt
Filed under: uncultured bacterium
Lineage: Bacteria
Description: partial 16S ribosomal RNA
Rfam family: Bacterial small subunit ribosomal RNA
Source: RNAcentral